Long non-coding RNA from Mus musculus (house mouse), 16008 nucleotides. RefSeq annotates it as predicted gene, 30810. The record is from RefSeq and is a predicted model, not a curated record. The transcript has 4 exons. NCBI's taxonomy places the organism in Eukaryota, Metazoa, Chordata, Mammalia, Rodentia, Muridae.
AAUAAUUUCAGCCUGCUGUAUCAGUAAUCUUGUUUAACAUCAAAGUUCCUCUCCUCCUGACAGAACAAUAAAACUGGGCUUAUUAAGUCAGCACAGCCCAUGCCUCUCCCCAGGUAACUUGGGGAUACGUAGAAAGCAUGUAAGUACAUGGGGUCAAAAGGUCACUGUUUGGUAAACUGAGUAGGUAUUUCCUAAUUUAUGAACAGAUAGUUUUGAGCUGGUAAAGUAUGUAGUUAAGACCUAAGCGCAUCUUUUAGGAAGCAAUCCAACAAGACAGGCACAAGUAGUACUUGGUAGACUACACUGUAGUAACAAAAUUAAAGAGGAGACAGCACAUUUAUGACAAAUUUGAUGUCCACUCAUCUUUGACUUUGCUGAGAUUAGGGACAGAGUCGUUUACAUUUCUCUGUCCCCUAUAUCCUAGCUUGGAUUUUUUAUGAUAACUUUAAAUGUCUCAAUUUAAAACCUGUGAAUUGAUGUGUGGCCCUCCAAAUAUAAAGAACAGCUUCUGAGUGUUUUAAGCCAAAUGCUUACUUUAAUGAUGCAAUCAAUUCUAGGCUAGGUUAGAGCUAUAUAAUGUAGAAAGUUCAGAGAAACAAAAUAUCCAUGUUUUAAAAAUUAUAAUGAGUUAUAUAUUUUAAGUGGUUUCUCUGGCAAUUGCUCAAGGAUCUGGGAGCCGUAUUAUAAAAUGUUCAUAUACAUAAAUAAAUAUAGACAAGACACCCCAACUAGGUAGGGAAGGUUAGCUCAGAUCUUGACGGGCUCUGGGGAAAACAAACAUAGAUGAUGAUGAUUUUAGACAAAUGGAAAGGAUCGAUGCUUUAUGUGGAAGUAAGCAUAGCUAACUCUGUGUAAGUACACGGAAAUAGAAAUUGCUUCCAGAGAGGUUUGGGAAAAUUCUCAUCUGAGAGAAAGAGGUCUUUGUGCACCUCGGAUAAGUGUACCCUCAUCAUGCACUCUGAAAUUUCCCUAUAAUAUAAUGAGACCUUACUGGUUUGUCAGACCAACCAUCCUCCCGCAUGGGUCAUUGCCUCGCCCCUCCCAGGGCGCCCCAUCAUCUAACCCACCCAGGAGAAUUCCUUUAAAAAAAAAAAACAAUUUCUAGAAAUUCAUUUGCUAAUAUCACAAACUCUGGAAACAGAACAAAGGGCUUUUGCCCAUUAUUUGUCACAUCCUUGCCGUUGUAACGACGACCUGUGCCCUCGCGCUGCCUGGGAAACAGAAAUAGAACACGGAUGCUACGGAGGGUUGUUUACUUCCACAUUUUCAUUUUUGCCGAAAGGGCUCCCAUGGGCAUCGUUGUGCCAACAGUGUGACUCUCUUCUCACUGUUAUGCAGCCUUCCUUCUGGCUUUCCCCAUGACCCCCCUCCUAAUUUACUCAGAUGAUGGCCACCAAUGGGACACUUCUUUUGUGUGGCUGGGAUGACAGAUGGCGGAGCUUCCGCUGAGACUGGCAUUAAUAGGACUCAGAGGAGACUAGAGACUUAUUUGAGAGGCCAUGCCAUCUUGCCUCCAGAGACUUUGUCCAUCACACAUUUUAAUCCAUCUAUGCACACAUUAUAGGUAAGGGGAAACGGGGCAGGGGACAGAAUCCUAUAAUGCCUUUAGCAUUCACUUUAUGAACAAUGGGCUCGGGCCAAAGGUAACAAUGUGACUUCCUCACUAACCAUUGUCUUCUUUGCUGCUGACAUACAAUUCCAAGAAAAAAUGUAUUUUAACACAUGCUUGGAUAGAGAUGAUUAUUUUAAUAAGCAGUACCCCAGCUUAUAAAAUGAAAGCUCCUAAAUAUUGCAGCAAACCAUCUGUCAAGGGGGAUCCAGAUGAGCUAAACAGAUGCAAUAAUUCAAGUUAUUUUUGACAUGCAUAAAUAAAGCUAGCUUAGAAUCAGCAUCAAAAAUUACUCUAUUCCUAAAUGCUUUUAAAAUGUCAAUGGGAAUUCAUCAGUGUCAGAAAAUCCUGUACAUAAGAGUACUUCCUUAGGAGCCAGCGCUUUCCAUUCUUAGCUUUCGUCUUGCUGGGAACUCAGGGAUUAGAGGUAAAGGCAGAAAACUUACAGCAGUGGAUACUUGGUGAGAAAACUCUCCCAGGCUGCCUGACAUUGGGAUUAAAGAGGAAACAAAGGCUGUGGGUGAACAGAACUGCUAGUGUCAAGUCCAAAACAGCAAAGGUUGUGCUCCGCAUACUAUGUGGUUACAGUGCCUCGGAUGCCUGGCAUCUCCUCAUUAGUUGGAUUUUUACAGCUACGUUUCUGAUAGGUUCCAUUGCUAUGCCCAUGGAAGAUACAUGCAAGCAAGCCCUAGGAGGAACCAGAUGAGCUCCAUUUCGGCAGAGUUAGAGUCUAUGCAUCAGGCCUUUGUUCCCCGUUACCUCAGGACACACUUGAUGUCUUACCUAGCUCAUAGGUAAUAUAAUAACUAGGGCCCAGGAGAAACUCACUGCCUUAACUGUCCUCAAAGAGAUUCUUCUAGUAUGAAGCAAACACAGGCAAAUAAUGCAACCGAGGAAUUGACUGGGCGGUCUGCAAGGUCCCUUUCUAUCCCUGGCUCCAGUUUCCUUCAUGGUUACUCUGCCAGUCAUAAUCCACAUUGAGUGAUGUUAUAGUUUGUACCUUAAACUUCUACUGGCCACACCAUUUCUCCAAAGCUUACAUGGUGCUAAUUAGCUUUUGUUAACAGUUGCGGAAGUGUUACAGUUUCAUUUCUGUUGCUAUGAUAAAAUAACCUGGUAAGAGGCAACGCACGGUGUAUUCAGCUCAGUAUUGCAGGUUAUAACCCAUCAUUAUGGGGAAAGCACAAUGGCAGGAGGUUAAGGUCUACCACAAUCACAGUCAAGAGGAGAGAGGAACAACCAGGUCCACGCAGCCUGCAUGCUUAUGCUACAUUGCUACUUUCCUUUACUCUUUCCUUUAUAGUUCAGGCCUAUGGACUAGUACUGCUCACAGUGGGCUGUAUUUUCUAAUAUCAACCAAUAAUCAAGAACAUUCCUGGUAGGUAUGCUAAUGGGUCAACAUGAUCUUAAUAAUUCUUUAAGUCUUUCUUCCCAGGUGAUUUUCUGGGUUGUGUCAAGUUGACAGUAAAAGCUCAAAACACAGCAUCCCUUGCUAACUUAACAUACAGACACAUCACUUUUUAAACUAUAGUCUUCCUAAGAUCUCAUAUUUAUCUCAUAAUAUAAAAUACUAUCCUUCUUGGUUAUUUUUCUGCUAGUGUGAUAAGAUACCACAAUUCAAUAUGACUUGCAGACAGAAGGCAGAGUUUACUUUUUCUUGUGGUUUCAGAGUGGAGCAGAAUUCAUCAUCUAAGAAAACAUGGCAGAAAGCUCCUGGAAUGAAAGCCGAAAGGUUCCGUCUUUGACAGCAAGCAUCAACAGCAAGAAUCCCAGCAUGAACUGGAUGUAGGGAGAGGCUAUAUACUCUCAGAGCCUUCCCCAACUACAUACUUCUUACAGCAAAGCCAACCCUCCUGAACUUUCUGAAGCAACACCUACUUGGAAAUAAGUGUUCAAAUACCCAAGCCUAUGGGAGACAUUCAAGCCACUACAUUCCACACCAUGGCCCCCCAUAGUGUCCACACUAUAUCACAAUCAAAACACACUCAGUUUGACUUCAAAAGUCCCCCUAGCCUUUCAUAGUCUCAACAAAGUUUCCAAGUCCAAAGUCUACUGAGAUUCAAUGUAAUUUCUUAGCUGUAAUCAUUGGAAAAGCAAAAAGCAAAUUGCAUACUUCUAACACGUGAUGAAACAGAAUAGACAAUACCAUACCAAAGCAAAGAUUCGGGGUAGAGUUGAGAAAUAUUGGAGAUUGAGGGUAUAGUUGAGAAAUAUUGGACCAAAGCAAGACCAAAUAUCAGCAGGGCAAAAACUAAAUCCAGUAGCUCAAUAUUUAGUAUUGAGGGCUUUGAUGGCUCUGUCCUGUGGCUUUGCUGCCUGAAAUAUAUGCCUCUCUCUAGCCUGGGAUCCACUCUCUGUAUGCAGUUCUUCUUGGCAGAUGCCUCGUGACCCCUGGAAAAUGCUAACGUCUUGUGGUCUCCAUUGCAAACCAGAAGCUUUCACAGACAAUAGAAUGAUCUUUCAGAGCCUUUAUGAAGAGACUCCCCCACCACAGGCAGCCCCAAACUCAGUGGCUCUCUGAAAACAAAUUAGAAUCCAUGACCCCUCCACUCCUGCAUCCUCCAUGCUUCUAAAUACUUUAUCAUGGAAUGACUCCACCAAGUUUGGCUGCCAUCUUGGGAUGACGGUGCCACUUUGAGUCACAUUAGCAGCAGCUUGUGCUUGCAGUUGCUUCCUAGGAAUAAAAAGCUCCUUAGAAGUUUCACGAUCUGGAAGUUUAGCUAGGUGGGGGUCCUGCACAAAAGGCACCUUCAGCAAUAGCUCAUUCUCCAGCAUCAACUUCCAAAUUUGUUAUAGCCUUAGUUAGGGUUUCUAUUGCUGUGUUGAAACACCAGGACCAAAAGCAACUUGGCGAGAAAAGGGAUUAUUUGGCUUAUUAUACCAUAUCACUGUUCAUUAUGAGUGGAGGUCAAGGCAGGAACUCCAAGAGGGCAGGAAUCCAGGGGCAGAAGCUGAUAUGGAGGCCAUGAAGUAGUGUUGUUGACUGGCUUGCCCAGCCAGCUUUCUUAUAGAACCCAGAACCACCAGCCCGGAGUGGACUCAACCCUCAGUGAGCUGGCUGGGUCUUCCCAUAUCAGUUACUAAUUGAGAAAAUGCUCCACAGGCUUGCCUACAUUCUAGUCUUAUGGAAGCAUCCCCUCCAAUGAGGUCCCUGCCACGCAAGUAAUUCUACCGUGUGCCAGCUUGACAUAAAAACUAUCCAGGGCAAAAACUUUGCAUUGCUGUGAGAAAACAUCACGACUCAAAAACUCACUGAAGAGUUUAUUCUGGCUUACAGGUCAGAAGGGAAAGAGUCCGUCCUUGUGGUGAAACAGUAAUAAAGAGCAGCCAUGGCAACGGGAAGAGGAAACUGAAAGAUCACAUCUUUAACAGCAGGCAUACAGUAGACAGGGAACUAGAGGUAAAAUGAGGCCAUGUACUCUUAAAACCCCUCCCCCAGGGACAUACUUUUUCCAGCAUGGCCACACCUCCUAAGUCUUUCCAAUCAGUCCUAAUUGGGGACCAAUUAUUAAAAUAUCCAAGCAUUAAGGGCAUACUUCUAACUCAACCCAUACAUAGUCCAACUUUUUAAAAGUCCCCAGUGUCUUUGCAAAUCACAACGUUUUAAGUCCAGUGUAUUCUAACAAAAUAAAAGCAAGCAUUAUUAUGCCAAAAGGAAGGACCAGGGCAUAACAAUAAUCACAUCAAAGUAAACUCAAAAUCUAACAGUGUAAGUCCAAAUCCUGUAGCUCGACAUCCAACAUCUGGAACUCACUCCUAGUGUAAUCCUCCAGGCUCCAAAGGGCUUGGGAAGCCCCACCUCUCCAGCCCUGCUCUCCACAGCACACACAGCAUCCUUCUUAUCUAAGAUACAAGAAAUUCUACCUAUAGACAAUGUUCUUCAGCAGCAGUAUCUGGCUGAGCAUGGGCUUCAGCCUGCCAGCCCGGGAUUGACUUGUGUUUGUGGGAAAAUGGAUCCCAGAUUCUGCCCCAAAGCUCAAGUACACAGAUGCUGGUGUAUGGCUAAUGGAUUUACUUUUCUAAACAAUCUUUCCAGAAUAUUCUCACAUCGGCUGUUUGAGAAACGCUAUGGAGACAGUCUUAAAACACACCAUGGAUCUCAAUAUUUUUGAUCCAGGUUUUCCCUGGAAGCACUUGACUUGCAAACUGUAAUCAAGUAAAAGAACAACUGCUUCUCCAAAGACUAGCUCUUUCUCCAUAGCAGCCUCCCCCUUCUCUCUCUCUCUCUCUCUCUCUCUCUCUCUCUCUCUCUCUCUCUCUCUCUCUCUCUCUCUCUCCCUCUCUCUCUCUCUCUCAGUGGAUUAGCAGGAGCUGGAGAGGGAUGGAAACACAAACUUGAACACAAAGGUUUGGCUUUUCUCAAGACCUGUAGCCAUUUUUCUGAAGAAUUCUAAUAGCAGACACGGAUACAUCCAGCCACACCGGAAACAUCACAACUGUCCUAAUUCCAGUUCCACUUUACCACCAGGCCCUCUCUCUUUUAAUUUAACCACCAGACUGUUCAAAGGCUUCUCACUGGACUCAGGCAGCGAUGGUUUGCACGGUGAAGUCUAGGAAGAACACAGACCUUCUGACUGCAGCUGUGAAAUCUCAGUCAGAAUGGAGCAGUGCUCAGUUAACCAUAUUACCCCAAGACAACUUUCCUGAGUCUAAUUUCCUGGCUCUUCCUCAGACCUAUUGUGUCAGAACUGAUGGGACUAGGGCCCACUGAUCCAUACAUUUAUAAAGUCUCUCUUACUGGAGACUUUCAUUAAUUAUUUAUUAUUUAGUUAAUUAUUAAUUAGAGACUUACUAGUCAAACUAUGUGAGGUGAGGAGAAAGCCCCGAGUGAAUGACUUCACGAGUCAUUGUCUGUGGCUGAUAUGAGUAUGGCCAUGCCAAGGACCUCAAAGCCUUAGACCCUUGGGGGAAUAGAAACACCUUCCCUCCUGGUCCAAGCAUGGAUAUUGACAGUAUGUGCAGAAAAUGCCCUGCAUAGCUUUCUUCCCUUAGAUAUUUAAGGCCUGAUGACUCCUCUCCUACAGAGACCCCAUCUACCGAUAUACCUAGCUCACUACCUCCUUGAUUUAGCUGUGUAGAGUAGCCUUAUCUUCUUGCUCAACUGUCUAUAUUCUAUCAUGCUGUUCCUGGGGAGCUGCAGCUUCUCCAUCAGCAAGCACGGUCCACCUAAGCUCAACUUUUCUCUGUCCCCUUUCUUGGCUUUCUUCAUUCCUCUACCACCUCGGCCAGGUCCAUCCAAGAGCUGGAUAGCUCUCAGCAAAAGUUACCAAAAGCUUUAGUCAUAUGACUUUCCCCUUCCAGAAAACUUUAUUAAUGUGCCUUUAUUCUGUUUUCAGCUUCUAGUUCAUAAGUCAAGGUUUGAGGCCCUGUAUCUGCCUUUUCCCAAAAGGCACAGAGCUUCUCUGACUCAUAGCCAAUGAUACUGCAGCUUCAUGGAUAUAGCAUAUAGCGUUCCCAAAACAUUGUGUAAAUGUGAUUUUUUGGGGGGGGGGGUUCAUCUUCUUUUUAAAAAAAUCCCAAAUGGCACAAACAUUGGAUACUGUAAUCCUCCCCUUCUUUAUAUUGACACUGUAUAUAACAAAGCAUGUAAAAUAGUCCCAACCUGACUACUUUUUACAGUUCAAUUUUUAAAAACUGAUUUGUUCUCCAAUCAUUUUCUAUCUUCUUCCCCCCCCCCAUAACCUAGUAUUGUAUGCUUAAGUGGUAUACCUUUAAUGGGUUCUGAUCAUCAGAAACUGUUUGUACAGGGGUCGCCUGAGACAAGAGCUGGUGGCAAGAACAGAUGGUCCAGCAAAAGCCACCCAGAGGGAUAUGGUGAAGCUACGUGUGUGACAGCUAUUUCAGAAGUCCAAGAGGAUGGCAUGCUGCACAGAUUAAGUGGGGACUCCGAAACCACACUCUGUGACCUGAACUGAAAUCGAUUGAUUUACCCAGUGAAUUUAAUAGAUGAGCCUUGGCUGCCUUGAAUCGGAACAGAAACCUGCUGCAUCUUCCCUAUUCAUGAGCUCAUUCUCAAAUUCAGGAAGGUUGCCUCGCGCGCAGAGCCAAAGCACAGCUUCCUGGCUGGGAAGCAGAGAGUUUCUCAGUGCUCAGAUGUUAAUGUUUUCUGCGCUCAGGCUAUUUUUAUCCAGCCACACAGACGACAGUGUAAGUACAGAUUUCUUCUGCAGUUUUCAUGAGAGCAGGUGUGGGAUCCUAGGCCAUUGUCCUCAAAGCACACACGUUCGCGCCCUGUAUCCGAACAGUUUAGGAGUGAACGCUACCCUUUGUAUCUAUGAUCAUUCAGCUGUCUGCCUAUUGUUCAAAAGAAGAAAAGAUAUAAAACGUAUCUUCAGGAUAUCUCUCGGGGAUGAGAAUGAGUAAGACGUUAUUCAUUUCAGACGCAUUAAAAAAAAAUCAGAGUAAAAAAAAAAACCUGGAGAUUCACAAAAUAAUCUCUUGAGACAAAUUUGUGCUAGGACACAGAAGUAGGUUCUAUGAAAUCAAGUAGUUAGUAACCUAACUCUUUAAAGUCGUAUGGACUAAUUGAAGAUUCCAGAUCACGUUGUCUUUAUCUUAGCAGUCAAUGCAGAAACACGGAAUGUAUUGAUGUUGAACCUAUACACCAAGAACCGUGGAAAAGCCACCCCAUGUAUAAGAUCCGUGUGGAAUAGUCCAUGAAGUGUGGCAGGAAUAAUGUCCUAUAGAAGAGAGUUUGUCCCCCACCUUUUGGUAUCACAUACCAGAAGGCUUGACUCGACAAUGCAGUACCUAACUAGGGGAUGUUGCUAUGUGUUCCUUGUCUUUAAGUACAGUGCUCUCUUAGUGACUGCCGAUGGACUGUGACUGAGGUGAGGUGUUCAAGGCAGGAAAUAUGCAAAGGUGUCCAAAGUCAUACACCAUACCUGUUAUGUGAAUGCGGUAUUCCUCCUUGAAGAUCUUCUGGAAGAAGGGAAUCUUGAACUGCAUGUGAGGCGUGUGCAACCCGGGGAGAUUCACAUCAACGUCGCCCAUGAAGUGUGGGAAUUCCCAGUCCUGUCAGAAAGUCAGCCCAGACUCUGCAGAAUGUUCAAACACCAAAGAACCCUAGCCUGUUCACUUGAUGUGCAGAUGAAUUUGAGCCCAAGAUGGAGGACAUGAACCCCCAAGAUUGCCAGAAGUCAUUUCUAGUGAAGGUAAAACUACAAAGGCAUUGCUCUUUCAGAGGGAAAUGUCCUGUGAAUCUUGUCAGGAGCCACACUUGAUCUCAGAUUUUAAACCACUGAAUUUAAAAAAAAAAAUCACAAUUAUCCUGUGAAAGAAGAACACACUUAAAUGUAAAGGAAUAUUUGAGAUGGGUUCAUAGACAUGAAAAGACACACUUUCACUUUUAAUAAUGAAAUGAUCACUGUAGGUACAGAACUAUGUUUAGUUGAUGUUUUAAACCAACUCGAAUAUGAAACAUGAUGAACAAACUUUUAGUUUUUUGAGAUUUUAAUAUACUACAUCAAUUGACACUGCUAAGCGCACUCAGAUAAAGCAGCUGGUACAGGGACACUGGGGAAGGUGCCUGGUCCCUUAGGAGCAGCCACAGGUGUUUCCUUUCCUGAGAGACUGAACCACCAGGAAGAAGAGAUCGAAGAAUGGCACUCUGCAUCACCUAGCAGUCUCUAGAUCAGCGGAUCACCUCAGGCUGCUGAUAGGAGAUAAGUAUAUAAGAAGACAAUUAAAUGAUGCCACAUCAUCUGUUCUACCUGCGAGCAAAUUAACCUGGCCUGUCCAUGUUUUUUCAGACAUUAGUAGCACUCAGAGACAUGAUUAAAGGGCUCAGGAAAUCAAUGAAUAAUGUUCCAUGAACUUGGAAUAUUGUGUAAAAAUUAUUACUGGAAACUGGAUUGGAGAUUCUAUCUGCAAACAGUCACUGAGGUUGGAUAUGUGCAUUUCUUCCCCCAUAUACAGAGUGUUAUCUCCAUAUUACAUAAAAGCCGUUACAAAGGAAACAGACCCGGACGGCUAAACUAUAUCUGAUAAAAGCUAUGACUGCAAAUAAAAUGAAUGACAGAGUAUCUUCACUCGUCCUAGAUGAAUGACAAAUAUCAUUAAACCAUCUUUUUAUUUCUUGGUUGCAGAUAGAGAACGCUUCUUGGUAGUAAUUGGGCCACUGUAUUUAAACCAGCUUCUUAGUUGCAAGGCGUUUUCUGACUUCUCCCAUUUAGACCAUCCUCCACGAAACUCAAGUUUUCUGCUGGUGUGAAAUUGCUUUCAGUUUAAAAAGCAAUCUCGGGAGAUUUCUUUUUGGACUGUGGUCAAAAACCUCAUUCACUAAAAAAUAGUUUCUCUAUUACUUCCCAGCUCUUCCUGGAGAUAGAAAGAUGAGUUAAGGAAGUGGGGGUGGAGAGGAGAACAAGAGAGAGGAGGGGAGUUUUGUGGUGUUUACCUGGAGGGAGGCUUUCCUUGUUUUAGGAAGAUAUCAGAGAGAGGCGUUGAUGUGUGAGGAGGGGGAGUGUAGGAAAAGCAGCUGUAUGAGAGUGUUUUAAAGAGAACACAAAAGGGACAAUGUCUCAACUAUGCCAUCUCCCAGUUCUCCCUUUUGCUUCAUCUGUCAUAAAGUCAUGUUUUAUUGUUUCAAAACUCUUUUACUUAAUCCGAUUUCCUAAGUUCAUUUUCCCUUUAUUAUUUUAAUUUUUGUAUUUCCAUCCCCUUUAUUUUAAUGUUUGCAAUUCUCACUCCCCAUUCCUCUUCAGACACCUCAUUUUGAGUCAGCAUACAUCUGGUCUACCUUGGCUUGCAGUGGAAUGGCAAUCAUAGUAAUUGCUACACCAUUUUGAGCUUCUUUUAGUGAAAAUUUUUUAUCUGAAGUUUGUUGAAUCACAAGUAUUUAAACCAGAAGGCAAAGGGAAGAGAGGAGGGCACUUUUUGUCUCCCCAGGUUUCAGAUACUUCAUUUACAGGUCAGUGUUGAACCUAUUGACUUCAUAUACUUCCUGGAAGCAUGAGAUCACGCCUAAGCAGCAACCUCCACAGUGACAGAGACAGAGGAAGAGACACAGACUCCAGUGAGUGGGACAAGGAACAGAUGAAUGACUGCAAGCAAACACUGGGGAUGUCAUAGCAUUGUUACCAUAAAUGCACAGCCAUCGUAAGUACACAUUGCAUAGAGAGGUAUCAGGAGUCACAGCUUGCUUGCCUUGUACGUGACUGUCAAUGCCAUCUUAGCAGGAAAAUAAGAAAACAAAAGCUUGCCGAGUUCUCUUAAAAUAGGAGUUUCCGCAUGGUGACUUCCAGAAAUAACUGAGGUAGGUGUGUGUGUGUGUAUGUAUGCAUGCAUAGAUGAGAAUAUUUGGCUAUGCUAUGAUUGAGUCACUAGUCUCAAGUGACACAAGAGCCACGCAGGAUAGCUUAGACUUCCUGGUUCCAAAGCCUAGAUGCUUUCUGCUCAUCCCGACUGUCUCUAACCGUAGACACAUAGCAUGGCUUCCUGGCUUUAUCUCACUGCUGCUCAUCCCGACUGUCUCUGACCAUAGAAACAUAGCAUGGCUUCCUGGUUUUAUCUCACUGCUGGCCUUUUUAUUGGCUUUGUGUGCCUGGCCUCAGAAUUAACCAUGAUCACUAGCUUAGCUCCUGCUAGAAGCUAGUCAUAGGGGGUUGGAGCUCCUUCCCUCUUUGAGUGGGUGUUAGUAGCAUCACCUCACCCUAGCAUAAGACCAACUUUAAUUUUUUUCUCCAUAAAUAACUUCCCUGGGGACUCUUUCCUUCUCUCUAGACUCCAGUGAGUGGGACAAGGAACAGAUGAAUGACUGCAAGCAAACACUGGGGAUGUCAUAGCAUUGUUACCAUAAAUGCACAGCCAUCGUAAGUACACAUUGCAUAGAGAGGUAUCAGGAGUCACAGCUUGCUUGCCUUGUACGUGACUGUCAAUGACAUCAUUUGAACUAAAUACAUACAGUAGGAGGAGUACAACCAGGUGAAAUGUGUGCAGCUAGCAAGCCCAGGAGCCAGAAGCUCAUCCUCCUGAAGUGGCAUAUUAUUGUUUUGUUCUUUGAAAUUGCUAUCAAUCUGGGGCCUCGGUACUGCUCUCUACUAUUGAAGCCAGCAGCAGCUGCAGAGAUCUCUCAGUGAUGAGAGUGAGUUAGGCACACAGUACCAAGCCGCUCCAGUUCUCAACAGCUCAUGAGGAUGUACCAAGUGUAGACAUGUCUCCAACUCUGCAUCCGUUCACAGACGACAUACGGUUAAUUUUCAUUCGGAUGAGUAUAUUUCCCACGGAAAAUAAAAGAGAUGUGCCAUGACAGUUGUCUACUUUUCUUACUAUGGUCUACUUCUGUCUGUAGCAAUGAAAGUCAGUUCGUGAUCCCUGCUAUUCACAGACCAUAUUUGGGCAGGAUUUAGCAGCAGUACUGUGCAUCUAGAUUACACUGUCUUGGGAACAUUGUGGAGUCAUUUCUCAGCGCUUCCUUGGGGAAUCUCAAGGAAAAGGGCUGGGUGUCAUUCAGAGGAGUUUAAGUUUAAAGCAUUCACUGUUUUUAAUUCCCCAGUGAUAAAAUAAUGAUUCCCUGUGUCUAUUUAGGUAAGAAAUUGACCAAAAAAAUUAAUAACCAUUAUUACUUUAUCAUAACAAACUAAAGCCAGAGUAAAAGCAAAGAAAUGUUCGAUUUUCUGGGUUCAUGAUUGAUCAAUUGGUUUUUGCGGUAAUUAAGGGAAAGAAUAGGUCUUACUAAAAAGUUGAUAAGUAGAAACUUUCCUUGUUUCUGGUUUACUAUUUGACAGUCUUAUUCACAUAUGUAGUGACUUUUGUUCAUUCCUCCCUCGUCCUCUCCCCCCACAGAAGCCCUUCUUUCCAAUAAAUUCUCCUACUUUGAUGGCUGCUUUCAUAACCCACUGAGUUGAGUUCUAGUUGCUUAUGUAAGCACAAAUGGGAAGGAAUUUAUUGGAGAAGGGCAACUUACCAGUGACGAGACCACUAAAGAAAAGACACUUCCCCCCCCCCCCUCAGCAGCCGUUACAUGCACAUAGACCCUUAGGUGAGAAUGAGGCUUCCUGUGUCCCUUGCCCACAUAUGACAGAAUGCUGACAGUCCCACUCUUGUGUGAGUCCUGGGCAGUAAUCAUAGUGCAGUGACUUUGUGAGUGCAGCAGUCAUGUCGUGAUAGAAUUGACAAUAGACUCUAAAAUGUUACUAUAAAACAUCAACUCAUCCUCAAUUUAAUAGUUUUUUAUCUUCCUUUUUAUAGCAUUAUAUUAUCAGGCUUCAGAUGAUUUCAAAGUCAACUUUACAGGCAUAUUUCUUUCUUAGCUCAUCUCUAUUCAUGCAUAUUUCAGAACUGAAUGCAGAAUGUGAAUAACAGGACACCAUUCCACCCAAAACCUCCCCAGCUUGCAAUGUGUCCUUAGCUCUUCUAUGCUUGCCAGUGUCCUAGCAACAGGAUUCCAGAUGACAGCAUGACAGCGAGCAGCCUGAAGAAUUGUUCUUAUGCUUUGGGUGAUAUUUCUGCUUCUUAUUAAGAAGCCAGAGAGCCUGCUAUUUUCCUCUCCAACAAUCCCUUGCUCCUGAUUGGCAAAGUUGCCAUAGGAAUACUUGGCUGAAUUAAUUCUCAGAAGCCUUGUUAUACAGUAGGCUCUGCUUAUUCAUUGGCCUUGCCCAUCAUCCCCACUGAAAGAUAAGCUCCAGGGAGCUUAGGUGACUUUUCCAUGUUUUGAUAACUGCUGUAUUCUCAAUACAUGAAUUCAACUCAGCAUAUGGUAGGAACUCAAGUAUUUGUGUAAAUGGUGAACAAUGAGCUCUGAAAGCUAAAAGGGCAACGUGAUCCCUUUUGUGUUUCUGGGAGUGGAAGCACGGAGUGGAUUUGGGUAUGAGAAAUAGCACAGUGAUCAUUAUGCAUCACUCCAACAUCUGAAACGUUGAAAAACUGGGUGUUUUGUUUUGUCCUUAUCAUCCAGCUUCAGUGAGACCUUGAACAUAGUGACAUGCAGUUUAAGCUAUUUGCAAAGAUCACAAAGAAAAGAAGAAAGUAGAUCAUUAGCGAGGGUAGAUAAGAUGGCUAAUCUUGGCUGUCAAUGAACAUCUGGAGUUGACUAAAACUCAAGUAGUUGGGCACACCUGUGAGGAAUUUUUCUUGAUUGAAUUAUUUAAGGAGGGAUGACCCACCUAUUUUUGGAUCAUUUGAAGUGGGAAGACUCACCCUAAAUCUGGGCCACACCAUCUGGUGGCAGCCAGAUUUAGGACAUAAAAGGACAUGGGAGAAGGAAGCUCUUGUUUUCUGCCUGCUUGCCUACACAGUCUGUAAGGCACUCUAAUAAAUCCUCUUAAUAUACAUAUAUAAAUUACACACACACACACAUGAAUACACAUAUUUUCUAAUGGGUCUUUUCCUCUAGAGAACCCUGACACUACUAUGGUGAAAGGCAAGAAUAAAUACUGAAGAUGUUUGGAGAAUUGAUCAAGGAUGUUUGGAGUCAUCUUUCUUGUCACCCUUUAAAGGAAAGAAGCUAUGAGACUUGUCAAACUAAGUCAGAGAACCAGAGACUAAGUGUAGAAGGCAUUUGAGGUAGAAUUGUGGGAGGGUUAUUUCCCACACUGGGGUCUGGCAGGUAUGUUGAGGCCAAGCUAGAACAUCACAGGUGCUUGGUUGUAACUGUAAAGGAUGCUCAGGAGAGGGGUGGCUGGAAGCUGGCCUCACCUGUCCCCUGAUACCCACCCUCUCCUCAUGUCACAUUCAUAGCUUCUCUUCAUUGUCACUCUUUUUACUUCCUUAAGAGAAAUUGUUCUAUAACCUUAUGAGCUGUGUAAAGUAUUUAAUUGAGGGGGAAUGGAUUUCUUGAUUUUCUGUUUGAGGGAGGUUUUAGCCAACUCCGAGCAGGGAUGCUUCACUGAUCUGUAAAACAAAUCCAUACCCUUUCCUGAAAUGUUUUAAUGAAUGUAACUUUCUCUCUUUUCUUCUUAAAGAAUAAUCCAUUUUAUUUUGCGUGUAUGUUGUUUUCCUGAAUGGAUGGAUGUGUACCACGCAUGUCCCUAGCACCCGUGGAGAUGAGAAGGCGGCAUAGAAUCCCCUGGGAACUAGAGUGCUGAGAACCAAACUGAAGUCCUCUCCAACUGCAGCCAGCACUCUGAGCUUCUAAGCCACCUCUCCAGCCCAGAAUGUGAUGUUUUUCAUGUGUUUCUAUUUCCAAAUACCCCCAAACUAGAAAAAUCGUUGUCUCCUAAAUGAUCGAUCAAGUUAACCACAAGGGUGUGGUUUGUGAUCGUUUUCUUCCUUCAUGAACUGUGUUUUUGUUUACUUUCUCUCAGAAGUCCACACACUUCCCCCAGCUAAUUCUAAAGAGAGCAUACAUCAGCGAGUUGUAAGUAUUCGUUUAUUACCUCUAAAAACACCAAUCUAGCCCAGAGCAGGUCUGAAAAGUUAACUACACUCUAUUACUUUUAAGAGAACUUGCCUCAAGGCUGUAGUGAGGAAGCAGUAGGUUUUUUACAAACAAGCUUCAGUACAUCUAGACCCUGAAAACAUCAUUCCUUUACACUCCAAACUGGAAGCAAACCGAUGCCCUGCCCUGGCAGAUGGAUGUGAGGAAGGACAAAUAAAAGCCGGUCUUAAAAGUGUUUACACUAAUGGAAAUGCAUCAUGUGGCCUCUAGGAAUAAUGGGAAAUCAAUAACCCUGACUGGGGCAACACAGUUCAGGAGCAGGAGGGAGGGAGUGCUUAACAUCUUAGAGACUCCUGGGGAAAGAAGAGGAGAGCGCAAUGGCUGGCUAAGAAGACAGCAGUGAGAGGUAGCGCUGUAUUCAAAGAAACACAGCAAUGGCUCAUUUCAGCUUUACCUUCCAAGGUCUGUCAAUCCCAACCUACUUAGCACUUGCUCUUUCUAAAGAUUCACAUAUUUUUAUUUUGUGUGUUAUUGUUUUGUCUCCCUGUUUGUGUUAUUAUGUGCAUACCUUGUACCCAUGGAAACCAGAAAAGGGAGUAGGACCCCACUGAAAUGGAGUUAAAGAUGUAAGCCAGCAUGUGUGUGCUAGAAAUUGAACCUGGAUCAUAUGGAAAAGCAGCCAGUGCUCUUGACUGCUGAGUCAUGUCUCCAGCCCUUACUUGGCAUGCCUUAAAAGAGUGAAUGUUAACUGUGUGUUUUUGCUUGCCCGAUACUCAAAAGAAUUCCCUUUCCACAGAAAGAAUGAAGUCCAGUGGAAGAAAUUCAUUAGAGCAUUUGUACUGUUUUCAGACACUGGCUGUAGGACACAGCACAGUCCCCUGAUCAUUCUCUGCUCUAUUGUUUUGGGUACAAAUGUCACUGCUGCAACCUGGCUGGCUGUGCACAUGCUGCCAGCAAUGGUGACAUUCAAUUGUCUGAAUGGCUGAUUUCUUCUGUGAGCUAUAUGGGAGAAUUAAUUGCUCACUGAUACAAAGUAGCUGUUAUUGUCCUUAGUAAAUUUUAAAUUUAAUACUGUGGUCAUUUA